GACGAACGCUGGCGGCGUGCCUAAUACAUGCAAGUAGGACGCUGAAGGAGGAGCUUGCUUCUCUGGAUGAGUUGCGAACGGGUGAGUAACGCGUAGGUAACCUGCCUGGUAGCGGGGGAUAACUAUUGGAAACGAUAGCUAAUACCGCAUAAUAGUAGAUGUUGCAUGACAUUUGCUUAAAAGGUGCAAUUGCAUCACUACCAGAUGGACCUGCGUUGUAUUAGCUAGUUGGUGGGGUAACGGCUCACCAAGGCGACGAUACAUAGCCGACCUGAGAGGGUGAUCGGCCACACUGGGACUGAGACACGGCCCAGACCCCUACGGGAGGCAGCAGUAGGGAAUCUUCGGCAAUGGACGGAAGUCUGACCGAGCAACGCCGCGUGAGUGAAGAAGGUUUUCGGAUCGUAAAGCUCUGUUGUAAGAGAAGAACGAGUGUGAGAGUGGAAAGUUCACACUGUGACGGUAUCUUACCAGAAAGGGACGGCUAACUACGUG
This 495-nucleotide ribosomal RNA is filed under the name uncultured bacterium. RNAcentral's name for it is "partial 16S ribosomal RNA". It matches the Rfam family "Bacterial small subunit ribosomal RNA", at positions 28 to 507 of the family's 1533-position model. The record is from RNAcentral.